Molecule: long non-coding RNA, 681 nt
Organism: Meriones unguiculatus (Mongolian gerbil)
Lineage: Eukaryota; Metazoa; Chordata; Mammalia; Rodentia; Muridae
Exons: 3
Source: RefSeq, a predicted model, not a curated record
UCCAGAAGUUACCUGGUUCUUGGAAGCUUUCUUCCCAGUUCAUCCAGGACCUUCAGCAAGUGGCUCAGACAAUACUAACUCUCCAAGGACAGACUGACUCACUGGCAGCAGUAGUACUUUGAAAUGGAUGAGGACUGGAUCUCCUCACAGCUAAAGAAGGUGACCUUUGCCUCUUCCUCCAGGAGAAAUGCUGUUUUUAUGUCAACCAGUCAGGAUUAUCAACCUCUGCCCACAGAACCAGAUGACAGUGACCUUCUAAUGGACCCUGAUGGUGGGGGCCAGCUAUAUUCUGAGAAUGACAAUGCCCCUAAUAGGAGGAAGUAACUUGAAGAGCAAAUGUUGCCCCUAUGCCCUUCCCACCAUCACCCUCUUCCUAGCUCCUCACUUUUUAAUAAAACAAAAAGGGAGGAAUGUUGGGAUCCAUAAGCAGGCAUCUCUAUGGACAGCCAAAGGAUCUGACAGAGGGGACAUCAGGCAUCUGUGAAGCCACCUACGGACCACCUGAAAACACCUGCACAUGCUCUGGGUCACCUUAUAAGAGAACUUGCAGCCCCUCUUCUUUCUCUCUUUCUCUCCCUCUCUCCAUCUCUUCCUCUUUCCUUUUCUCCCUCUCUCCUACCCUGCCUAGAAAUGAUCUCUAUAACCCCCUCCCCCUCCCCUUAAUAAAACCUCUCACGUGGA